Molecule: transfer RNA, 64 nt
Filed under: Dorocordulia lepida
Lineage: Eukaryota; Metazoa; Arthropoda; Insecta; Odonata; Corduliidae
Description: tRNA-Arg
Source: RNAcentral
AAAUAAGAAGCGAAUAUAUUGCAACCAGUUUCGACCUGGUUAACUUGAUGUUAAAUCAUCCUUA